GACGAACGCUGGCGGCGUGCUUAACACAUGCAAGUCGAACGGAAAGGCCUCUUUCGGGGGGUACUCGAGUGGCGAACGGGUGAGUAACACGUGAGUAACCUGCCCUUGACUUUGGGAUAACUUCAGGAAACUGGGGCUAAUACCGGAUAGGAGCUCCUGCUGCAUGGUGGGGGUUGGAAAGUUUCGGCGGUUGGGGAUGGACUCGCGGCUUAUCAGCUUGUUGGUGGGGUAAUGGCUUACCAAGGCUUUGACGGGUAGCCGGCCUGAGAGGGUGACCGGCCACAUUGGGACUGAGAUACGGCCCAGACUCCUACGGGAGGCAGCAGUGGGGAAUAUUGCACAAUGGGUGGAAGCCUGAUGCAGCAACGCCGGGUGCGGGAUGACGGCCUUCGGGUUGUAAACCGCUUUCGCUCAUGACGAAGCUUUGUGUGACGGUAGUGGGUAAAGAAGCACCGGCUAACUACGUG
Molecule: ribosomal RNA, 467 nt
Filed under: uncultured bacterium
Lineage: Bacteria
Description: partial 16S ribosomal RNA
Rfam family: Bacterial small subunit ribosomal RNA
Source: RNAcentral